RNAcentral lists this ribosomal RNA (402 nucleotides) under uncultured prokaryote. Its description in RNAcentral is "bacterial SSU rRNA". It matches the Rfam family "Bacterial small subunit ribosomal RNA", at positions 355 to 774 of the family's 1533-position model. The record is from RNAcentral.
UGGGGAAUAUUGGACAAUGGGGGAAACCCUGAUCCAGCCAUGCCGCGUGAGUGAUGAAGGCCUUCGGGUUGUAAAGCUCUUUUGGUGGGGACGAUGAUGACGGUACCCACAGAAUAGGCUCCGGCUAACUUCGUGCCAGCAGCCGCGGUAAUACGAAGGGAGCUAGCGUUGUUCGGAAUUACUGGGCGUAAAGGGCGCGUAGGCGGUCCGAUAAGUCAGAUGUGAAAGCCCUGGGCUUAACCCGGGAACUGCGUUUGAUACUAUCGGUCUUGAAUUCGGUAGAGGUUGGUAGAAUUCCCAGUGUAGAGGUGAAAUUCGUAGAGAUUGGGAAGAAUACCCGUGGCGAAGGCGGCCAACUGGACCGACAUUGACGCUGAGGCGCGAAAGCGUGGGGAGCAAACA